AGAGUUUGAUCAUGGCUCAGGAUGAACGCUGGCGGCGUGCCUAAUACAUGCAAGUCGAGCGAACAGACGAGGAGCUUGCUCCUCUGACGUUAGCGGCGGACGGGUGAGUAACACGUGGAUAACCUACCUAUAAGACUGGGAUAACUUCGGGAAACCGGAGCUAAUACCGGAUAAUAUAUUGAACCGCAUGGUUCAAUAGUGAAAGACGGUUUUGCUGUCACUUAUAGAUGGAUCCGCGCCGCAUUAGCUAGUUGGUAAGGUAACGGCUUACCAAGGCAACGAUGCGUAGCCGACCUGAGAGGGUGAUCGGCCACACUGGAACUGAGACACGGUCCAGACUCCUACGGGAGGCAGCAGUAGGGAAUCUUCCGCAAUGGGCGAAAGCCUGACGGAGCAACGCCGCGUGAGUGAUGAAGGUCUUCGGAUCGUAAAACUCUGUUAUUAGGGAAGAACAAAUGUGUAAGUAACUAUGCACGUCUUGACGGUACCUAAUCAGAAAGCCACGGCUAACUACGUGCCAGCAGCCGCGGUAAUACGUAGGUGGCAAGCGUUAUCCGGAAUUAUUGGGCGUAAAGCGCGCGUAGGCGGUUUUUUAAGUCUGAUGUGAAAGCCCACGGCUCAACCGUGGAGGGUCAUUGGAAACUGGAAAACUUGAGUGCAAGAAAAGGAAAGUGGAAUUCCAUGUGUAGCGGUGAAAUGCGCAGAGAUAUGGAGGAACACCAGUGGCGAAGGCGACUUUCUGGUCUGUAACUGACGCUGAUGUGCGAAAGCGUGGGGAUCAAACAGGAUUAGAUACCCUGGUAGUCCACGCCGUAAACGAUGAGUGCUAAGUGUUAGGGGGUUUCCGCCCCUUAGUGCUGCAGCUAACGCAUUAAGCACUCCGCCUGGGGAGUACGACCGCAAGGUUGAAACUCAAAGGAAUUGACGGGGGCCCGCACAAG
Molecule: ribosomal RNA, 941 nt
Filed under: Staphylococcus epidermidis
Lineage: Bacteria; Bacillati; Bacillota; Bacilli; Caryophanales; Staphylococcaceae
Description: bacterial SSU rRNA
Rfam family: Bacterial small subunit ribosomal RNA
Source: RNAcentral